UUGGUAUGCUCGUUGUUCUAGGUUUGUCUCAGACUCCUGUGAGUUUUCUUAGUGGUGGCUCUGUUUGGAUAGCGUCGGUCUCCUCUGAGAGGGACGGCGAUGCUGGUUUUGUGCGGUUCGAGCUGUUGGGUUUUGUUCAUGAGUGAUGACGGCUAGGGUUUCCGCUGGCCAGAUCUUUGUUUCCGGGAGUGAUAUCAGGCGUAUCUCACUAAUCUAUGACAUCUAACUCAGGUUUGUAGUGGUCUUCACUCACUGCUUCUCGGAUUGAAGGGUCUUGGCUCGGGUUUUUUGACGAAGUUUAAAGAGAUAUUUUGACGGCGCUGGUUGAUGGCAUUGUAAGGGUUGUCGUUUUCAGAUUUCAAUCGGGUCUUUAUCAUUUUGCUAUAUUCGGUCAGUUCCUUGGAGGUGUUGAUGAGUUAGGCCACUGCAUGCAUCUCUCUAUUUAGAUCUACCAGUUGGUGUGGUAUUAGUCAUUGGUUUAAGGCUCUGGUAGGGAGUAGAGAGAAUGGGUCUCAGUCUUAUCAACUUUGAUCAUCAUUCCUCAUUGGCAGCGUGUUUAGGUCUCAUGUCAUUGGAGUUUUUGCGGUAGGUAUUUAUUGACCUAUUUGGGCUUUAUGAGAUGCUGGAUGGAAGCAUCUCCUCUUUGUGAAUUCUCAUUGGUGUGGUGAGCGUAGUCAUCAUCCUCUGAAGAAAUAAGAGCUUUAGUAACUGGCCAAGACAGAGGAGAUCUCUAGGUAGUAGGUAUGGUUGGUGGGGAAAAAAAUUGAACAAUUGUCUUGAUCUGAAUCAUGUGGUGGAUUUCCUCGGGGGAUUAUGCUCAGACCGGUCUGACUUCUCAUUUUGGAUUUAUGGUUAAAUGGGUGUAACGGUCCCAGUUAGAUAAGUGAGAGGUGGCAAUAUUUUUUU
Molecule: long non-coding RNA, 906 nt
Filed under: Brassica rapa (field mustard)
Lineage: Eukaryota; Viridiplantae; Streptophyta; Magnoliopsida; Brassicales; Brassicaceae
Description: long non-coding RNA (BRAP_LNC003436)
Source: RNAcentral